Myotis lucifugus (little brown bat) is the source of this 76-nucleotide non-coding RNA. Lineage: Eukaryota; Metazoa; Chordata; Mammalia; Chiroptera; Vespertilionidae. The record is from Rfam.
GGCAGUUUUUGGGUGACACACCCCGGAAUCGGGCUCCCUCCUCUCUGUCUCCGGGAUGCAUCACCCGAGAACUGCU